Cyprinus carpio carpio is the source of this 1904-nucleotide long non-coding RNA. The record is from Ensembl. NCBI's taxonomy places the organism in Eukaryota, Metazoa, Chordata, Actinopteri, Cypriniformes, Cyprinidae.
AUGAGCCUGGGAGUAGGCACUUGUGGCCCGGAAUGUGUGCGACCGAACGCGACCGCUCGGAAAGAGACUGCGAUCGGGACAAUGAGAGGUGAUCCUCAAGUGUCGCCAGUGACAUUGAAUCGAACAGAGUGCCGUCCAGGCCAGGCGAGUCCAUCUGUCCUUCGAGAGAACGAGAGUAGCAGUAUGGUCGUUCAAAAAGUAAAAUCCUCCUCCGAGACCUGUGGACACAGCCAGCUGUAAAGUGACAAACCACCACGGGUGAAGCCCUACGAACUUACCAACACUUUCAAAACAAAGCCGGACGGGCUUUUCAGUGCAGCCUGUGAUGCAGGACACCUUGACUACUGCAGAGAUGUGCGCUGAUCUGUACACCUGGCGGAGAGGAGAUGUGCGGAUUAAAUAUGCCUCAUUUGAAUAUGUAACACCCACUGAUCUAUAAUAGAGAACAUAUAUAGAUCAGUGGUAACACCUAAUUUUCUUAUUGUAAUUUGCGUACCCUCUCCUUUUUGGGGUGGGGCAUGCAUAAUUGUGCUUGUUUAUGUUAGGUAGGCUAUUUACCCAAAAAUGUAGCCUAAAUAAAUAGGCUACUUAUGAUGUUACAUGUGAUGUUUCCAGAUCCUUUUAGCAUUAAUUGCAGUAAUCCAGUGGAAUUGUUUUUUUUUUUUUCUGUUAAACUGGAAAAGAAUAUAAAAAAGCAGGUCAUGUCUCUCCAGAAGUCUUACAGUAUGCAUGUGCUGGCACAAUGGAUCUCUUUAGACUUUGUCUUUUGUUAUCUUGGUAACUAUUCCCAUUAGGAUUGCCUAUCAAACCUAUAAUCAAAAGGUUAAACUUCUUCUGAGAGGAAACUAUUUUCUGAAGCAGUGAUCCAGGUGACUCCUGUAGGUGUGGAGCAAUUAGCUCCCAGCGAAACAAUGGACCUCUGAAGUCACAGACAAUGGGAAAAUUCUUUAGAAAAUUGGCAAAGAUUCUGAGAUCUUUAGACAGAAAUUGGAGAGGGAUCUUAAGAAACAGAAAAAGUUCACUUUGUUCUGGUAAUUACAAACCUCAUAAAUUACAUCUUUUUUUUAGGACCUAAGCAAGCAUGUGUUUUUAAUGAUAGAUAUGGCCAAAAGUAAGAGUUUACAAAUCACAAACCGAUUAUAUACUUCAUCUUGUCUAUUUAUAUUAUUAUUUACUUUAUAUUUCAUUUAAAAGUGGCAGAUGGCGAAGAGUAUCUGUGGUGACUGUGUUCAGGUUUGGAUGUGGCAGCGAUCAAUGGGUGUCUCUGCACUGGACGUGCUGAGAGGGGUCCAGGGGUCCUAAAGGUCAGAUGUCCAUAAUUCAGCCCUGCCGUUAGAGAGAGAGAAAGAAAGAAAGUUUGCAUGCUUCAGCUAAAAUUGGACAAAUAAGCUUUUGGUGUAGUGCUCCUUUAAAAAAAAUAAAAAUAAAAUAAAUAAUGAUAAUAAUGGGUGGUCUUGAAAUGUUGUAAUAACUGUACCUAAUUUGAAUAUCAACAUUUGAUUAGUGAAAAAGUGAAAGUGAAAGCCAAGUAUGGUGACCCAUGCUCAGAAUUUGUGCUCUGCAUUUAACCCAACCAAAGUGCACACACACAGCAGUGAACACACACACACACUGUGAACACACAUCCGGAGCAGUGGGCGGCCAUUUAUGCUGCGGCACCCGGGGAGCAGUUGGGGGUUCGGUGCCUUGCUCAAGGACACCUCAGUUCUGGUAUUGCCGGCCCGAGACUCGAACCCACAACCUUAGGGUUAGGAGUCAAACUCUCUAACCAUUAGGCCACGGCUUCCCCAUAAGUCAAAUGCAAAUCAUAUGGGUGUGGUUAACACUCAAAUGCUAGAAGGUCUGAGAAAGUACAUGGUACGUGCCCGUUUAAGUCUAUUAAAAUGGUUAAGGUUUAAUUCCUA